Ostrea edulis (European flat oyster) is the source of this 8964-nucleotide long non-coding RNA. RefSeq lists it as uncharacterized. Lineage: Eukaryota; Metazoa; Mollusca; Bivalvia; Ostreida; Ostreidae. The transcript is spliced from 3 exons. The record is from RefSeq and is a predicted model, not a curated record.
AGGUGAGAGCAGUGGACCAGUUUGAUUCAUCACACUGAUACACCAUUCACAGAAUUAAUAACCCCCUAGGAGCACAAUAUAAACAUGUGAAGUGGCAGCACCCUGCUCAUAUCCCUCGGCUCAUUUGUAAAGGUCUCCAAAACAUUCGUAUCUGUGUCCGGGACCGGUGACCUGGAGCCACUCUCGUCUUCCCCUGAUCCGAAUCGCAUUACCCAUGACCCCCCUAGUGCUCUUCGGAAGUCCAAUAGACCCAUCAAUGUUGGCGUCAAGUCCCGAUGGGUUCACUGAUGUCCUUCCAAUUAAGUGGAAUAGGGCUGUCGGACAGGUGAACUUUAACAGAUGAAAUGUUGUUGCAUGCAGCAAGACAACAGAGCAGACCCCACUGCCUUUAAAACCGACAUUUCCUCCACAAGAGAGAAGAAAGAACCUGGCAUUGAAGUGACAGUGAAAACAUCUGUGAGCUACAAUCAAGCCACGCCUUGCAGCUGAACUAUUAAGCUUAAACGUUUUGACGAUCUAGUUUUUCGCAAGAGAUUUGUGGAAUACUCUUUUGUGUUCUUACAUAGAAAUGGAGUGAUGUGUCAAACCUUUCAAAAAGUUUGAUAAACAAUUUGAUGUACUACCGUCUCCAAUGAGUAAUAAGAGGCUACAUUUGUAGUAAAGAUCCACUAAGUUUUCUACCCUAGAGACACGGGGCAUUUCUCUUUCAUGCUCAUCCACAUCAUCGUUAUGAUGCAGUGCUAAACUUGGCGAUCUGUGUUAAUUUGAUACGUGAUCCUUUUCAGUUUUCUUCAUGAAAAUAGUACACAUCCACACGCAAUUUGCCCUCCAAUAAUCAUAACGAACGCCUUAUAAAACGAGUGAUGGUUUAAAUCAAGAUAAUCUAAGGUUCUGGAGUAGGUAUGCAACAGAUCAUGAACAUGAAAUAUUACACAAUUAUAUCGUAAAUAAAGCGUAGAAAAUAUAAAAGAAAGUGAAAAGCACAGGGUGUACGAGACAAUGACCUCCACUUCUGAGAGAAAUGUGUUAUCUUAUUGAAAUUGCAAUGAACUGUAUCAUAUUGUGUGGAAAACUAGCUCUUCACCUCGUUGUGAAGCACUGAGAUAAGAUAUUCAUGAUAGGAAACUGAUCUUGAAAAGAUGAAGUGAUUCUCACAGCAUACUUGUUAUAAUAACAAUAACUGCAUAUUACUAUACGAUGUCCAACACGAUGUUCAACCUACAGAUGAGACCAAGAUUAUGUGUUUGUAACAAAACCUUACCAACAAAACAUUACCUGCUUCUAAGACAGUCAUGUACAUAAAUUUGAACUAUUAUGUCAAUUUUGUCUACAAAACUACAAAAUCAACGUAUACAUUUCCCAGUGCACUUGAGUGUAAGUAAAUGAAAACUAUCUUUUCUGAAUUCUCCCUACAUCAAUAUUACAAGAGCCGACAACUAUUGAGCGUUUCCUUUGAGUCAGAGGUAACAUGCAAGCACCUGAUAAAAACUACAGCAGAGAAACAUCACAACAUACAAUUCCCAAGUAGCUCCAAGGGAAUUUGGUUAUUAUGCUGAGCAUAUAGGACGGCUGUGUUAAAAUAGAUGGGGUUCGCCGUAGAAUCCUACAUCUUUCAAAGAUGGCCAAAAGAGGUCUAUGAUGUAUCUUAUCUAAGGUUUAUUUUAAAUUUCCUUUGGACAUAUAUACGAUACAGUUAAUAAUUUUUAUUUUAUAAUGAAAUGUCUAAGUUGUUUUUAUUACGGGGGUACACAAAUGAUGGCAGCAUUAGGUCAAUUGUCUGGUGACCAAAUUUGCAAAAUUAACCAUGUUCCCAAUGUUUUAUAUCCCAAACCUUUUCAUUCGUUCCUUAGGUUUAUAUUCUUAUAUAUAGGAUUUUAUCUAGAGUUGAAAGGUCAGUGCUUUUACAGAAAAAUAAAAUACAACCUAAUUACUAGUAUUGACAAAACCUUGGUAAAUGGACCUAUAGUACAACCGUUGAUAUUGUUAUUACACGUGUAACAUUAUAUAAACAACGAGGAAAUUGGCACAGUCACAGUGUAACUUUUAAUUGCCGUAUAAGUGGCAAUUACUGAACAAAACACAUUGCAGGAACUAUCAAGCCGCGCCCUGCAGCUGCAGGAAUAAAUUCUUUCCCAUUUUUUUCGUGGUUUUUUUUCUCUUUUGGUCUUUAAUUUUAGACGCUUUGACUCUACUCAAGAUCUAUUUCUCAGUCAUAUUUUCGUAAUAAACAGCUGUUUGCAAUCUUCUUUCGUGUCAUUUUUACACAAACUUUUGAUGCAAGAUAUUUUUGAUAAGAUAGUCGAAUUAUUCACAAAUGUAUGUAACGCUGUCUUUGAUGGACAAUACAUUUAUUAGCUUACCUAUACAUGUAUCAUCAAUUCGUAUGCACAUAUGUUUUAUGUAGUUAAAAAUAAUCAUUUAAUGCAUAAUUAUAUUUACAUGACUUGUGUAGUGUUUCUUGGUAAAUCUAGAUUUCCUUCAACUUCUCAUAUCUGGGUCCCUGUUUGCCCAACUCUAUUUUGUAUUGCUUAUAGGUUUGUAUUGCUUAUAGGAGUUAUGGGAUUGAUCACUGUUCGUUAUUUUCACCUUUCAUAUGUGAGUCAACAAGAUGCAAUAGUCGCGGAAUAGCCAAGGAUGCUUUUCUUGAAUAUUCUUUGAGGAUCAGCAUUGUGACGUCACGUUGGUUGUUACUGUCUUAUGACAUCAUUGAGAUUUUCUACUGAAAAAUGUGCUAGAAUGUAGAUAUCGAUUUCUAAGGUGUUUUUUUGUUGUUUUUUUUUUGGCUACAUAUCAGUAUAGGGCAAAUGAGAAUUAAUGACAUUCAGAAAAUGGCGAAGUAUUACAGAUUUUUUCUUCAAUAUAAAGUGAUAACAGGUAAACCUCCUCAUGUCCACGUAUCAGCGAGUUACAAUAUUGUGUGGUUAUAGGAAUUCAAAGAUUUCAUCAACUUUGUUGAACGUUGGAGGAAUUUUACAGGACCGUGCAACAUAUCAACGCCAAUAAAGCCUCGUAGAUCUUGAAACUAUUUUAAUUUAAAACAAGAAUUUGUCAUUUUUCUCAUUUACUUCAUGAAAUGAACACAUCCACACACAAGAAUACCCUCAAAGAAGCAAAACCUAUACCUGGUAAAACGAGAAAUGAUAAAACAGAGAUAUACCGGAAUACAAAAAAGAAUGGCAAAAAGGGGUGUACACGAAGAUAAGUUCCAUGUCCGUGAGAAAUGUAUUAUCUCAUUGAGAUCGCAACGAACAAUGACAUAUUGUGUGGAAAACUCUUCACCUUGCCGUGAAGCUGUAAGGUAAGAGUUGCCUGAUGGGAGAAUUGAUCCUGAGAAAAUGAUGGAGAAUUUGCUCUCCUGAUCUACAUUAGUGUUACAUUUUUCACAGCAUACUAGCACUUAAUUUUGUUAUAAGCUUUACCUACUACAACAUGACAACUAGGUAAUCUAUAUAAUUGAAAAUGCAUGAUCGUUUUUUCAAAGUCAAGAGUAAAAAUAAGUACUUUCUGCCCACUUAUUUAAACAAUCUCCUUUACCUAUGCAUACAGCAAACAAAAUCCGCUGCUCUCGAGCAUGUAGACAAACGAAGAGUUUUCCCUCUAUCAACAAAAUAAGAACCGACAACUAUCAUCCAUUUUCUCUGUGUUCAAGGUAAGCACCAGAUAAAAAAAACUAGCAGAGGAACAUCUUAACAUGCAAUUUCCAAGUAAUGUUAAGAGGAUUUGGUUAAUAUGCUGAACAUUUAGAGAGUGCAGAGUCCAAUCUUUCGGGUGUGAAUGUAAUGAUGAAUAAUGAAGGGUUUCACCAAAAAAUCCAAUACAUUUUUAGAAUACGUAGCAAACAAGGUUUGCAAAUAUGCCCAAAUGAUGCCCUUCCUUUCCUUUGUGUAAUGGUCUGUCAGGAAAAACUGGUUUAUGAUGCAUACUGAAUACGUAAUAUCGUAAACAGACUACAUCGAGACUGUAUUAUUUUUUAAAAUCUUGCCAUGGCGACCGUUUUAUUUACUUUCGGUUCUACAGCUACAUGAAACCACACGUGAUCACACCUGUUUAUCAUGUUUGUGAUGGGACAUAAAAUUGUGAUGCUUGCAAUUACUAUUUUAAUAACAGAGCUUCAUAGUUGUAUAUCGAAGUCAAUUUGCUUUUGUUAAUUCAAUGAUGUUUACCGGUAUUUAAAUUUCUAUAUGAUAGCCCGGUAAAUGCUGUGCUAUUUUUUUUUUCAAUUAGAACAGAUUACAUAAUAGUUUAUUGUAGGAUAGGUUUAAGUAUGCCUAGUUCUUGAGGUUGUGUGCGAACUUUAUGUUAAUCUACUGAUGUUCUUUUAACAAUUCACACUACUGAAAACUUUCAACACGUUUGACAAGUUUGCGAUAAAUAUCCAACUUCAAAGGAGGUCAGUAAUUGUUGAAUUGGUAUGAACUGAGGCGUGUUGGUAAUUCAUUCAGUUGUGAGUGAUAAUAUAAUACUAUUAUAGCUAAUGUCAAUAAUGCUGUAUGUGGGGCUCUAGACUUUAGACAUUUUUAUAGGUCGUCCAGCGCCAUUGGCGUAGAUGUAACAAAACAACAAACGACAUCAUGCCCACUGGUGCAUUGAGCUUGGUCAAUAAGGCAUACCGAUUGCGUGUUAAUUGUUUACCAGAUUAACUCUAGCACCUGUUGAUGGGUGCCCCACCUGUAGUUUGACCUCAAAUGCUAGUCUCACCUUUCCCGCAUUUGUCGGUUUCGUCGCACUGACAUUUUGGUCCAGCAUCCACACUGAUGCACAGACAGUCUCCACACGGAUUCCUUUGGUCACAUGCCUCGGUAAAUCUCCCAUCUAAGGAUACACCACGGAUUAAGCUUCCACGGACGGGCUCACAUGAACAAUUUCCAUAUAUGACAUUUCGUAUCUCCACAGCCAAUCGUUUGGAGAACAUUACUGACGGUAAAGCAAGAUCUUCCAGACUCUUCAUAUAAGCCUCUGGUAACCCCCCAAAGUAUACAUCACUGUUAUUCCCCAAAUUUCCAAAGUAAAAAUCUGACCCAUACGAGAGAUUUUUGGAAGAUUCUUGGUCCACAGAAAAAGUGGUUUCCAUCCUGUUUCUUAGAAUUGUCACCCGAUGCCACUUGCUAUCAUUAAGGCUUUGUCCAGCCUGAAACUCAACACUUCCAUCAUGACCAUUCACAAUGUUUAUCCUCAAUCGAGCGACCCCUUUCUCAAGUGAGAGUUCAAAAAAGUCGUAUGAUCCCCCAUCGUCAGUGUACAUUAAAAUACCCGUACCCUGUUUGGUCUUGAACUCAAAACUCAAAGAGGCAUUGAUACACGCGUUCCAUUUAGGAUAUUGGGCAAAGGAUUCCUUUCCCUUCGGGGCACGGAUGUAAAUCCCCCUCACACAAGUCACAAAAAUCCACAGCACACAUAGUGUGCCUAGCGAAGAGCCCGACAUGACUCCCAAUAAUGGUACAGCUUUCUGAAUGACUCUGAUCCCCCGUAACCUUACGCCUGAGAAUUCAUUACUAUUUUCCUUGACGUCUAUAUGCACUCAGCUGCAUUAUAUGCAACACUUUCCCCACAUUUUGGUGGGCGAUUAAUCCUGCAUGUGUGCGCCAACAGGUAAAUAUGUUGAUCCGAUCUGUAGUUUUCGGUACUAUACACAAACGCCGGCUUUUGUCGUCUGCCCAGUGUCGAUCAACUGUGUCAAAAUAAGGAAGGUUUAAUUUGAAUAAACGUACACACAGGUAAAAAUAUUCCCCGUAGCCUUCAAGCGUGCCCUAGUGGGUUAAAAGACUGGUAUACACAUUCUUUACCAUUUUGAACAAACAUUGAAACCGAAAAGUGAAUCUUUAUGUCAAAUGGUAUUUAUUCUCCAGAGAAAACAUAUCUUUGGAGUAAAUAUUAGAACGGCCGAGUAGAGAUAAAGAUUAAAUGUUACAUAAUUUGAAAUAUCCCUAAAUGCAUAUUUUUGUCGGCAAGAUUUAGUCGUAGGCGAGAGUUUAAUAUCGACAGAAUUAAGAUGAAUUACUAAUGUUUCUGAGUUUAUGGAAACAGUUGUGAAAUAAAGAUCAAGGAACAGGGAUUUGCGCUCAACAAAUUAACCUCAAGAUCUACAGUGCAAAUUAUAAGGUCAAUAUAUGAAAUAACCCGAAUAUCAAGUUAAUAUGUUUUAUUUUACUUCAACUAUAUCUUCCUCAUUUCUAUGUUUUAAAAAAAAAUGGUUACUUACAUAACCGAGCAGUGGUCUGGUUUACCAGCGUUCUGAAUACUCCAGUUACUGGGUGUGCGUCUGCCAGUCAAUUCUAUAGAUCACCUCCAACUACAAGAAGAGAAUGGUACAAUAUAGACCCACUAUGCUCGGUACUAAUUCCCGCUAAUUAGGCGCACGUGGCAGAAAGGUAAUGAUCGCCGGAGGAAUCCUCUUGCGAAUCUUUUUCUUUCAUUUUACUUAAAAUAAUUUUUGAUAUAUUUUGGUGUAGAUUUUUUGUCUAUUUAUUACUUCAUGCAGAAUACGUAGACUUUUGGAGGUUCCACACAGAUUUGUCAGUGGGCAGUGACCAGGCCAAACCGUAUCAAUCUGUGUUUCUCAUCAUCAUUGAUGAGUCCGAAAGGACGAAAUUCGAUCACUGCGGAGUAUUAGCAUCUGAUGUCUGGAAAUUAUUACUUAUUGGAGAGAAAAAAAAAACGCAUCUAAGAUAUGCUUCAUCAGAUUAAACGGAAGAAACGAUUAACAGUAAUCUUGUUACAUAUAUCUAUCAAUAUUUAAGACCCAUAUAGCGCGCAACGCGCAAGAAUGUUAUAUCAACUUACCUCCAGCGCACAUUGUUCAAAUUGUAAUUAGGGAACACGCAGAGAAAGACUAAACACCCUCUCAAGAACGUCUGCAAACAAUGAAAUCUUGAGUUUGAAGAAUGUCCGUGUUUUUAUAAGUAUGUGUACAACUAGAUUUAGGAUGCAAUUGAAAUAGAAUGAACUUGACGACCUCAGUUGACGAAGUGAUGGAAUUUCCUGAUGCAUUUGCCAAACUUCUUAUCACUGAAUUUCUAAGCUCAUGAAAUCAAGUCGUAGAUGUAACAUCUGUGAAAAUGUUCAAGAUUUGAAAGUAUUUGGAAUGUGAACGUGAAGUAGCCAUCCCACUUUGUUUCAGUGCGAGUUCACGUCACUCUAAGUGUCCAAUGACCACAAAACAAUGGCUUGCUUAUAUUUCUUUCCACUGCAUGCAUAUCGCAUAACUCAUACCAUCCAAAGCUUGACGUGAUUUAGCGCUAUCUAUUUAAAACAUUCAAAAGGUCCUCUAUAAAAUUUCUUGUCUUACUAAAAAGAUUGCUCGUCUGUUUGCUUAACCUUAAAAAUAAAUAAGAGUUUGCACUGCCUACUUCCGUUGUAGCUGCAUGCAUUUGUGUUGACAAAGAUGACUAAUAAAUCUACGUGCUUAUCCUAUCUCUUAUUUUUCUGUUACUGGCGGGGAAGCAUUAUAAACAGGUGUUCUUUCUUAUACCUAAGUCAAUCUAAUUUGCAUAAAUCUCUAAAGACUGGACGAGUUGUCGAACCUAUAUUGUGCAUGUACAACGCCUCAUUUUAUAAAUUACAAAAAUACUACGGAAAGCCACAUAAUUCAAUUAUCUAUGAUAGUAAUAUACAUCCAAAAGACUGUACGUCCCCAGACAUACCUGAAUAUGUUAAAUUGUUUAAAGUGACAUAUAGGUCAGUUGGGCCGGGUGUAAAAUUAUAUUAACAUGUAUCUUACUGAAAUACAAAAGUUGUAUUAUAUGUGUCACUAUAAUAACAGAUUUACUUACUUAUAUAUAUAUAUAUCGUUGAAAGAAUUCACAUUGUUUGAAAUUGAGAUUUCUUUGCAAAAUAAAAAAAAAUUGAAAUGAAAAGUAAUUCACGGGAUUAUCAAACGACAAUAGUUUAUUUCAUGACGACUUAGAAUAUAAUUGAAAUAUUACGAAAGACAUUAUUUCACAUGUACAAGUUCCUAACACAUUUCAAAAUAGAAAUAAAACAUCUACCAUUACAGGCAUUUCAUUUUGAUUGGACUUUCUGUUAAAUUGAUUAAAGACCAAUACAUACACGGGGGAAAUGUUUGAAGAGAAAGAUGACUAGAUGAUAUUUCUUUAUGAAUAUUUCCCUAUUCUUUGAUAAUUUCCCGUUGAUAUUUCUCUGUGGUUUAUUUCCUUCUGCAAUGUAUUCAUAUACAAUGUAACCACGUUAAUUAAAAAUAAAUACAUAUAAACACAAAUUACAAUACCAGUCCACACAUUCUGGGGAGGUUAUUUCCCUUAUUCUAUUCAUUGAGUCUCAGGUCUUCAAUUUUAUCAACAAAAUAAUAAAAGCGUUCAAAUAAAAUACUUGUGGAUAAUUUCCUAACACAACUCAAUAAAGUGAUAUGCUAAGGCCUAAACGCCUUUGGAAGAUUUUGAUCGCCUCAAAUAACCGUUACCAUUAUUGAGUACCGCUCCUUUGAAAUUGUACCUCAGUCAAAAUUUUUAAAUUCAAAUAAUCGCCAUACUGUGUUAGAAUUGGAAUUACAUUACAUAGCUCAGUGGGUUUACUACCACUCAUCGCCAAUCAAAUAAUUCCCUAGAGAUUUAUAGGGUAGGGGUUUUUGUUGUUGUUGUUGUUCUGUUUAAUUUAUACUGCGACGAGAAGGUCCUGAUUUGAUUAUUCUGCCAAUACCAGCGCUAAUUAUACAGAACUAAACAUGCUAAAUAUAUGUUUCCUCUCCUCUAUAUCGGGCGGGCGUGAUAUUACUGUAUUUGCUUGGAUAUGAAUUAACUUAGACAGAUUACCGGUACAUUUGAGAAAAACACAAUUAAGAUUACAUCUGAGAAAUAAUACAUGUAUAAGGACAACAACACGGUGGUUGCAUGUGCGGAUCCAGAAUUUUUUUUUCGGGGGAGGAUGGAACAUUUGGCAAGAAAAAGAAGGGGAAAAAAACCAAUUCUCUCUAAAAAAAAACAACAACAAAAAAACAAAAACAAAACAAAA